UGGGCAUUUACUGACGCUGAGGAGCGAAAGCAUGGGGAGCGAACAGGAUUAGAUACCCUGGUAGUCCAUGCCGUAAACGUUGGGCACUAGGUGUGGGGGACAUUCCACGUUUUCCGCGCCGUAGCUAACGCAUUAAGUGCCCCGCCUGGGGAGUACGGCCGCAAGGCUAAAACUCAAAGGAAUUGACGGGGGCCCGCACAAGCGGCGGAGCAUGCGGAUUAAUUCGAUGCAACGCGAAGAACCUUACCAAGGCUUGACAUGUGCCAGACCGCCUCAGAGAUGGGGUUUCCCUUCGGGGCUGGUUCACAGGUGGUGCAUGGUUGUCGUCAGCUCGUGUCGUGAGAUGUUGGGUUAAGUCCCGCAACGAGCGCAACCCUCGUUCCAUGUUGCCAGCACGUAAUGGUGGGGACUCAUGGGAGACUGCCGGGGUCAACUCGGAGGAAGGUGGGGAUGACGUCAAAUCAUCAUGCCCCUUAUGUCUUGGGCUUCACGCAUGCUACAAUGGCCGGUACAAUGGGUUGCGAUACUGUGAGGUGGAGCUAAUCCCUAAAAGCCGGUCUCAGUUCGGAUUGGGGUCUGCAACUCGACCCCAUGAAGUCGGAGUCGCUAGUAAUCGCAGAUCAGCAACGCUGCGGUGAAUACGUUCCCGGGCCUUGUACACACCGCCCGUCAAGUCACGAAAGUUGGUAACACCCGAAGCCGAUGGCCUAACCACCUUGUGUGGGGGGAGU
This 731-nucleotide ribosomal RNA is filed under the name Glutamicibacter arilaitensis. RNAcentral's name for it is "bacterial SSU rRNA". It matches the Rfam family "Bacterial small subunit ribosomal RNA", at positions 730 to 1454 of the family's 1533-position model. Lineage: Bacteria; Bacillati; Actinomycetota; Actinomycetes; Micrococcales; Micrococcaceae. The record is from RNAcentral.